RNAcentral lists this long non-coding RNA (1351 nucleotides) under Apteryx rowi (Okarito brown kiwi). RNAcentral describes it as "lncRNA (ENSARWG00000005064.1)". The record is from RNAcentral. Lineage: Eukaryota; Metazoa; Chordata; Aves; Apterygiformes; Apterygidae.
CAAGGAGGCAACAUUAGCUCUGUAGGAAGAUGCUUACCUCUACGGCUUGUCUUCUGCAAGUUCAGAUCUAAAAGACUCUUCUUAGAGCAGAUCAGCAAAAGGACGAGGGCGACAGUCAGAGGUUGCAGCAAGGCAGAUUCUAGUUGGAUAUAUGGGGGGGAAAAAAAAGCUCACGAUGUGAGUGAGCAAGUGCUGGAACAGGGGCCCGGAGAGCCUGUGUAAUCCCUUUUCUUGGAGACAUGGUAACUUCCACUGGGCAAGGGCCUGAGCAACCUGAUCUGACUUUGCAGUUAGCUCCCCAUGGACCAGGGUGGCCAGAUUAGAUGAAAUCCCUCCAGAAAUCCCUUCCAAACUCAAUUAGUCAGUGAUGAUGAGCACCUGUUUCUAAAACAAUAUAAGCAGAGUGAUGGUCUGGUGUUAGUGAACGGUUGGGCGCUGGACUGCACAGGCAGCCUGCCACAAGAGGGAGCGGAUGCUGGACGCGCAGCACUGCACGCCCCGGGCGCAUGGGCCCCCAGGCGGGCGGCCACAGACGGAAAGCUCUCGCAGACCUUAUCCCCGCGCAAGGGGCAACCACCGCCUUGCUGCCAAGUGUGCAGCCCGCGACGUCUGAGCUGAGGAAACGCAGACCAUUCCUUCAGCGCUGCUCUGAUGCCAGGCGGAUCCGGUGCCAGGCUCGAGCCAUUGCAUCCAACACAGUGGAACGUGGAUUUUGUCUCUGCUGCAUUUUCCUAACAAGGUGCCGUGAUCAGAAGAAAUUCAGAAGAAGUGCUUUCUGUCUCUUCGCUUUGAAAAAAGGAAAGCGGCCCCGUGAGGCUUGAGGAAGAGGAGAUCUGYGUGUUAUCGAAGGAGCCAGCUGAGCCCUCGGGUUACACACUCCCAGCUAGCUGCUCUGCCAAGGUCAGCACUUCUAAGCUGGAGGUGGUUUGGCCUGAUAAUGUGUGGUCUGACACAGUGCUAUUGAAGUAGUUGUCAGGCUCUUUUGGUCUGUUUUGUGUUUAGGAAAUUAUGCCGUAAAGUGUAUCUGUCUUGAAGUUACAAGAAUUUCAGAGACUUAAGAUUUCUGAGAAAAUAGUUCUCAUCAGUGGUCAUUAGGUUAUAAGACACAUAGCAUUAGUGAGAGCUCCCAUUUAAUUCAUAAUUACUGGAUUCAGUAGUCUGAAUUUGUCAAAAAGCCUUAAAAAGCUGCAGACAGAAAAAAACAACAGUGAAGGAAAGAAUGGGAACCUGACYGGAAAGAAAUUCAGUAACUGUUGGUUUUUUUUAAGGGAAGUUUUGAGCAAUCUUUCUCGACUGGCAAUAUGACGUUAUGUUACAUAUAAAAAAUUUGCUGUCUACGUGCAUGGUGGAC